RNAcentral lists this ribosomal RNA (493 nucleotides) under uncultured bacterium. RNAcentral's name for it is "partial 16S ribosomal RNA". It matches the Rfam family "Bacterial small subunit ribosomal RNA", at positions 28 to 507 of the family's 1533-position model. The record is from RNAcentral.
GACGAACGCUGGCGGCGUGCUUAACACAUGCAAGUCGAACGGUGAAGGGACCGGUUUUUGCUGGUUCUGGAUGAGUGGCGAACGGGUGAGUAACACGUGAGUAACCUGCCCCCUUCUUCUGGAUAACCGCAUGAAAGUGUGGCUAAUACGGGAUAUUCUGCGCCUGCUGCAUGGUGGGUGUGGGAAAGAUAUUGUUUCGGUGGGGGAUGGGCUCGCGGCCUAUCAGCUUGUUGGUGGGGUGAUGGCCUACCAAGGCGGUGACGGGUAGCCGGCCUGAGAGGGUGGACGGUCACACGGGGACUGAGACACGGCCCAGACUCCUACGGGAGGCAGCAGUGGGGAAUAUUGCACAAUGGGCGCAAGCCUGAUGCAGCGACGCCGCGUGAGGGAUGGAGGCCUUCGGGUUGUAAACCUCUUUCGCCAGUGAAGCAGGCCUGUCCCUUUUGUGGGUGGGUUGACGGUAGCUGGAGAAGAAGCGCCGGCUAACUACGUG